GCCCGGUAGCCCAGUGGUUAGCACGUGGGCUUCACAGUGCAGAGGUACCGGGUUCGAUUCCAGCUCCGGCCUCCCUGUGUGGAGUUUGCAUGUUCUCCCCGGGCCUGCGUGGGUUUUCUCCGGGUGCUCCGGUUUCCUCCCACAUUCCAAAAACAUGCGUGGCAGGCUGAUUGAACGCUCUAAAUUGUCCCUACGUGUGAGUGUGAGCGUGGAUGGUUGUUCGUCUCUGUGUGCCCUGCGAUUGGCUGGCAACCGGUUCAGGGUGUCCCCCGCCUACUG
This is a long non-coding RNA of Hippocampus zosterae (dwarf seahorse), 279 nucleotides long. RefSeq lists it as uncharacterized. The transcript is spliced from 2 exons. Lineage: Eukaryota; Metazoa; Chordata; Actinopteri; Syngnathiformes; Syngnathidae. The record is from RefSeq and is a predicted model, not a curated record.